Molecule: ribosomal RNA, 464 nt
Filed under: uncultured bacterium
Lineage: Bacteria
Description: partial 16S ribosomal RNA
Rfam family: Bacterial small subunit ribosomal RNA
Source: RNAcentral
ACGAACGCUGGCGGCGUGCUUAACACAUGCAAGACGAACGGAAAGGCCCUGCUUGCAGGGUACUCGAGUGGCGAACGGGUGAGUAACACGUGGGUGAUCUGCCCUGCACUUCGGGAUAAGCCUGGGAAACUGGGUCUAAUACCGGAUAGGAGCCAUUUUUAGUGUGAUGGUUGGAAAGUUUUUUCGGUGUAGGAUGAGCUCGCGGCCUAUCAGCUUGUUGGUGGGGUAAUGGCCUACCAAGGCGGCGACGGGUAGCCGGCCUGAGAGGGUGGACGGCCACAUUGGGACUGAGAUACGGCCCAGACUCCUACGGGAGGCAGCAGUGGGGAAUAUUGCACAAUGGGCGCAAGCCUGAUGCAGCGACGCCGCGUGGGGGAUGACGGCCUUCGGGUUGUAAACUCCUUUCGCUAGGGACGAAGCUUUUUGUGACGGUACCUAGAUAAGAAGCACCGGCUAACUACGUG